CAGCAGGCGCGAAACCUCUGCAAUAGGCGAAAGCCUGACAGGGUUACUCUGAGUGACUUUCGUUAAGAGAGUCUUUUGGCACCUCUAAAAAGGGUGUAGAAUAAGGGGUGGGCAAGUCUGGUGUCAGCCGCCGCGGUAAUACCAGCACCCCGAGUGGUUGGGACGAUUAUUGGGCCUAAAGCAUCCGUAGCCGGUUCUGCAAGUCCUCCGUUAAAUCCAACUGCUUAACAGAUGGGCCGCGGAGGAUACUACAGAGCUAGGAGGCAGGAGAGGCAAGCGGUACUCAGUGGGUAGGGGUAAAAUCCGUUGAUCCAUUGAAGACCACCAGUGGCGAAGGCGGCUUGCCAGAAUGCGCUCGACGGUGAGGGAUGAAAGCUGGGGGAGCAAACCGGAUUAGAUACCCGGGUAGUCCCAGCCGUAAACGAUGCAGACUCGGUGAUGGGUUGGCUUCGUGCUAACCCAGUGCCGCAGGGAAGCCGUUAAGUCUGCCGCCUGGGUAGUACGGCCGCAAGGCUGAAACUUAAAGGAAUUGGCGGGGGAGCAC
RNAcentral lists this ribosomal RNA (544 nucleotides) under uncultured archaeon. RNAcentral describes it as "bacterial SSU rRNA". It matches the Rfam family "Archaeal small subunit ribosomal RNA", at positions 333 to 879 of the family's 1478-position model. The record is from RNAcentral.